RNAcentral lists this ribosomal RNA (166 nucleotides) under uncultured bacterium. RNAcentral's name for it is "partial 16S ribosomal RNA". It matches the Rfam family "Bacterial small subunit ribosomal RNA", at positions 346 to 504 of the family's 1533-position model. The record is from RNAcentral.
AGGCAGCAGUGGGGAAUUUUGGACAAUGGGCGCAAGCCUGAUCCAGCCAUGCCGCGUGCGGGAAGAAGGCCUUCGGGUUGUAUACCGCUUUUGUCAGGGAAGAAACGCUUCGAGCUAAUACCUUGGAGUAAUGACGGUACCUGAAGAAUAAGCACCGGCUAACUAC